Molecule: small RNA, 2496 nt
Filed under: Pan troglodytes (chimpanzee)
Lineage: Eukaryota; Metazoa; Chordata; Mammalia; Primates; Hominidae
Description: retained intron
Source: RNAcentral
GCAGCUUAUUUUUCCUUUUUCUUUCAUUGGUCACAGUGAUUUCUUUUCAGUGUGUCAUCUUCUCUUAAGUUUCUGAGGGAGUGUUAGCUUGAGGCCUUGCCUUGACAUAAUCAGAUAUAAUCAGAAAAAUGAAAAAUUCCAUAGGAAAGAGAACUAUUUUAGCCAAGGUGUGCGAGAGAAAUACCGUCACUUUCAAGCACUGUUUUCUUCUACUGGAGUCUGCUCAAUAGGGACGUCAGCUUUGCUGGGGCUUCCUUUGACAAGAGAAUCAGAACCGACUGGUGACAUUUGUUUCAAUGAAAGCAACAGUGUGAAGAGUAAGUAGUUUUUCCUAUUAUUCAUCUCAUUCAGUGGAGAUAAUGAACUCCUCUCCACUGCCAAGAUGAGAAACUACCAUUUCUUACACAUGGACACAAAGAUGAGAACAAUAAACACUGAGACUUCAAAAAGGAGGGAAGGAGAAAGAGGAGCAAGACUUGAAAUCUACCUAUCAGAUCUUCGCCUGCUGCUGGAAAUGGCCCUCUCAGUGGACUCAUCGUGGCAUCGGUGGCAGUGGAGAGUCAGAGAUGGCUUCCCCCAUUGUCCAUCAGAAACCACACCGCUGCUCUCUCCAGAGAAAGGGAGACAGAGCUACAACUUGACACAGCGGCGGGUCGUGUUCCCCAACAACAGCAUAUUCCAUCAAGAUUGGGAAGAGGUCUCCAGGAGAUACCCUGGCAACAGAACCUGCACAACCAAAUACACCCUCUUCACCUUCCUGCCCCGGAAUCUCUUUGAGCAAUUUCAUAGAUGGGCUAACCUCUAUUUCCUGUUCCUGGUGAUUUUGAACUGGAUGCCCUCCAUGGAAGUCUUCCACAGAGAAAUCACCAUGUUACCAUUGGCCAUUGUCCUGUUCGUCAUCAUGAUCAAGGAUGGCAUGGAGGACUUCAAGAGACACCGCUUUGAUAAAGCAAUAAACUGCUCCAACAUUCGAAUUUAUGAAAGAAAAGAGCAGACCUACGUGCAGAAGUGCUGGAAGGAUGUGCGCGUGGGAGACUUCAUCCAAAUGAAGUGCAAUGAGAUUGUCCCAGCAGACAUACUCCUCCUUUUUUCCUCGGACCCCAAUGGGAUAUGCCAUCUGGAAACUGCCAGCUUGGAUGGAGAGACAAACCUCAAGCAAAGACGUGUCGUGAAGGGCUUCUCACAGCAGGAGGUACAGUUCGAACCAGAGCUUUUCCACAAUACCAUCGUGUGUGAGAAACCCAACAACCACCUCAACAAAUUUAAGGGUUAUAUGGAGCAUCCUGACCAGACCAGGACUGGCUUUGGCUGUGAGAGUCUUCUGCUUCGAGGCUGCACCAUCAGAAACACCGAGAUGGCUGUUGGCAUUGUCAUCUAUGCAGGCCAUGAGACGAAAGCCAUGCUGAACAACAGUGGCCCCCGGUACAAACGCAGCAAGAUUGAGCGGCGCAUGAACAUAGACAUCUUCUUCUGCAUUGGGAUCCUAAUCCUCAUGUGCCUUAUUGGAGCUGUAGGUCACAGCAUCUGGAAUGGGACCUUUGAAGAACACCCUCCCUUCGAUGUGCCAGAUGCCAAUGGCAGCUUCCUUCCCAGUGCCCUUGGGGGCUUCUACAUGUUCCUCACAAUGAUCAUCCUGCUCCAGGUGCUGAUCCCCAUCUCUUUGUAUGUCUCCAUUGAGCUGGUGAAGCUCGGGCAAGUGUUCUUCUUGAGCAAUGACCUUGACCUGUAUGAUGAAGAGACCGAUUUAUCCAUUCAAUGUCGAGCCCUCAACAUCGCGGAGGACUUGGGCCAGAUCCAGUACAUCUUCUCUGAUAAGACGGGGACCCUGACAGAGAACAAGAUGGUGUUCCGACGUUGCACCAUCAUGGGCAGCGAGUAUUCUCACCAAGAAAAUGGUACAGGAGCUCCCAAGGGCUCCAUCCCUCUUUCUAAAAGGAAAUACCCUGCUCUCCUAAGAAACGAGGAGAUAAAAGACAUUCUCCUGGCUCUCUUAGAGGCUGUGUGGCAUUUCCACAAGUUGCUUCCUGUAUCCCUGUGGUCUUCCUUGUCACAGAUCAGGGCUGUUCCAAUUACUCGUAAACUUUCAUUUGUUUACAAAGGUUAGAAGUUAUCCCAUAUGUGGUUCCCCUUCAGCUGAUCUUUGUCUGGUGCCAGACAAAGCACUUUAUGAGACGAGUUUUUUAUCUGUCAGCAAUGGAUUGGAGACAUUUCCCAAUUGUGUGCCAGUCACACAACCAAGGCUUGGGAAUUUCUCAGGCCACCUUACCUGACAUGUCAGGGCAGGUCUGUGUCUAGGUGCAUGGUCAGAUUUAACACAUCCAGAAGAUGUCUUCUAUUCUAACAGAUCUCUUAGCUUGUCACUGAGGCAAAGUUUUGAUUUAGGAGAUAGGGCUAUAAAAUGCCUGGACUGUUACCUUGCAUGGACUGAAUAUGACUGAUAAAACUGACCUGAUUCCUUCAGCCAUCAUCUGCCCAACUUCGUUCCCCUCCCCACCC